This is a long non-coding RNA of Xenia sp. Carnegie-2017, 1944 nucleotides long. RefSeq lists it as uncharacterized. The record is from RefSeq and is a predicted model, not a curated record. The transcript has 3 exons. NCBI's taxonomy places the organism in Eukaryota, Metazoa, Cnidaria, Anthozoa, Malacalcyonacea, Xeniidae.
CCACAUUUUGAGCUAAACUUCUUUGAGUUGAAUUUAUAUGAACAUAUUGAUUUGUUAUUUAAAUUUCAAACGGUUUUCAAAUUAAAAUGUAAAUGCAAUGGAACAAACAGCUUCACCAAACAUUUGUGUUAUAAUGGCUGAAGGCUUUAUGCCAGCUCAUUGUAUACUGACUGUAUCCCACUUUAGUUUAUAGUAAAAUACCAAAUGUAUAUUUUCAUUAACGCAUCUCUGACAAAGAUCCUGAAAUCAAAUUCAAGAAUUUAAGUUCAAAUUUUUUUUCAAAGAAGCCUAGUUUUAGGACGUUGGAUGCAUUUCUUAUAUUUGUUAAAUCAAGACCUAAGAAUGAGAGGGAAAUUGCCAAGAAAAUUUUAGAAAAGCAUAGAAAGCCGGUCAUUUUCAUCAUUGCAAACACUGAUGAAGGCAAAGAUGACGAAAAAACUGUUUUGGAUAGAAAAAAAGCCUUAAAGAUUUGGUAAAGGAUGAGUCAGGUAUUUACGUAAUUGACAAAGAGGAUACAUCCAAACGCGACUUUGAGAGUCUGCUUGGAGAUAUCAAGUCCAAGUUUUUGAAACGUCGAAAAGAUAUUUCUGCAAUCUUUAAAUGAGGCCGUUUUCUUAAACACCAAGAAAACAAAGGAACUCUUCAAACAAGCUCAGAAACACGGUGUUGAUAAGAUUCUGGAAUUUUACAGCAAGGAUUUAAUUUCAUUGUGGAUAGACACAGAGAUAAAUUUUGCUAUAACAGGAAAUUCUGGAACAGAAAAAUCAUCUUUCAUCAACGCUGUGAGAGGUAUCAAAGCUAGUAAAAAAAAAGCAGCAGCACCAGUUGGUAUUAAAGAAAUGAGAAAGAAACCCACUACGUAUUCACACCCAAAUCAUAAAAACAUCAUUUUCUGGGAUCUAACUGGCAUUGGAACACCUACAUACCCCAAUCUUGAAGAAUAUUGUAAAAAAGUUGUUGGUCUGGAGAAGUACGAUGCAUUUCUCAUUUUUGGCAAAUCGCGAUUCACUCAACAUGAUAAAGAACUGGCUGAGAAUGUUUCAAAAGUGCUCGACAAACCUUUCUUUUUCAUUCGUACCAACGUUGACACCGAACUCAAAAAUGCGAAGGAUGACGAAGGACCAAAGUUUGAUGAAGCAUCUGUCAUAAAACGUAUGAGGAAAAAUUGUUUGAAAAACCUGGAAGGUUUGAUUCCCGAUGAAACGUUACCUGAGGAAAAACAAGAGAGUUUUGUUGCUUCCUUGGACAGGUCUUUACAUGCAAUAAUAAGAAUUAAGGCCAACUUUUUGAGAGCGUGUUUGGUUUUCACGAUCAGUUAAAAUCUGAAGAAAAGUUUGGUGAUGAAAUCAAAGAGUUUUUGAAACAAAAGGCGGUUGACGAGUCACCAGCUAAAGUCCAAUUGGCGUAUGAUUACCUUACAAAACGCAUUGGUGAAUUGAAAGAAACGCUUUAGAUAGAAUAAACAGUAACAAUUCACAACCACGCGAAACUCAAUGAUAGAAUGACCUUCACAUUGCAAAAAAAAAGUGACAGAAACGUAUGCGAACAUACCGUUCCGAAUCUUUUUCAAGCAGAUGUUAACAGAUUUUUAACAGAUAAUGUUAACAGAUUUUUCAUCAAUUUUAGCUUGAUUUUUUUAUGUUUUACCUGAACAGAAACGAACAGCUACGUACUAAAAUAAAAUUGUUCUCUAGAAUUGCACUAUUACUGACAUUUCUACAUUCCCACAUAUUCAAAUUUAUAGUAUUAUGAUUCCUUCUCUCUUUCAACAUAAAUAUACGCUAUAUAAAUAUUCAGUAUUAUAACAAAAAGACUUUAUUGAUAUACCGCAGUAGCUACAUAUUUUCACUCAUUAUAUUUCGUAUACCAACUCGAAGUAAGCACCGCAUGAUGUAUUAGCAAAUAUACUGUGUAUAGUUUUUCAAUAUAUUAAUUCUAAAACUG